UGAUGGAGGUGUGGCCAAAAUAACAGGCUGCAACUGAUUCUUUUCAUUAUUGAUUAAUCAGCUUUUGAGAUUGUCGGUCUCGUCCACGCCAGUCGCAGGCAGGGAGUGUGACAGCACAUACGAGACAUAUGGUCUUUAUCAUUGUGUUUUCUCUACAGCCUUUUAAUUGAACAAUAGGUGGGUUUCACGUGACGUCACGUUGCUGCAUCGCGAACUCCAGAUGGAGGGCAGGAAGUGAAGUAGCUUGUGGAAGUGUGAAGUGCCAACUGAAAACAUGCCUAUGUUUUGUGUCGUAUACGGCUGCUCCAAUCGUUCUAACCGAGAAAAGGGGUUUUAUAGAGUAGCCUACCAAAGAUUGUCGUUCACAAAGGUGAGAAAUGUGAAUAGCUCACAGAACAGAACAACGCCGUAAAAAGUGGAUUUUAAACCUAUGUCUGCAGUCGGGAGGAGCAGUCUGUUUAUUCCCGUGUCUGCAGCGACCACUUCAUCAGAGGCUAUGCAGAUGCCGGAUGCCAAACUGAGCUAACGAUGGAUGACAUCGAGAAGAUGGAGGAUGUUCUGAGACAGAACUCAACAGAGCUGGUAGAUCUUCGGACCAAGACACUGGACACAGUUCAACCAGGAGUCCUUUGAAAAAAAAUUAAGAAAAGACUAAGGGCUCCCCAACUUCUUAGUUUUAUUUCAGAUUUUUGAGCUGUGCGAGCGGCGAGCCCUACAUCACCUGUGGCCCUAUGUCUGUGUUGUCUAAAUUUGAACAGUUGGUUUUAGUUUUUCUGAGGCUGAGACUAAAAUCUCCCGCUGAAAGAUUUAGCUUUCAGGUUCAAGAUCUCUCUGCCCACUGCUUCUAGAGUUUGGCAUAAAAUAAUUGACAUACUCCAUGAAAGGUUAGAAUUUCAAAUUGAGUGGCCAGAGCGACAUGUACUUCAAGCUACAAUGCCAAUGGGAUUCAGACAGUCAUUUGGACGUAGAGUUGCUGUGAUAAUUGACUGUUUCGAAGUUUUUAUUGAGAGGCCCUCUAAUUUACUUGCCAAAGCACAGACAUGGUCUAACUACAAGCAUUACCAUACUGUAAAAUUUCUGAUUGGUGAUGCACCCCAAGGCUAUGUCCCUUACAUAUCUUGUGCCUGGGGAGGGAGAGUCAUAGAAUAGAGAGUGAGUGGCCUCCUUAAAAACCUGUUACCCGGGAUGUUGUCCUAGCAGACCGUGGGUUUAAUAUUGGUGAUAUUGUUGGAUUUUACUGUGCUUCUCUACAGAUACCUGCAUUCACCGAAGGGAGAAAACAGCUUACGAGGUGGCAGAAACUAGAAAUAUAGCGAAUUUGCGUAUUCAUGUCGAGAGAGUCAUAGAUUUAGUCAGAAGAAAAUAUCAGAUUCUGCAAAGCAGGGCUAUGCCCAUAGAGAACAUGGCAGCAAAAUCAGGUGAGGCACUAGCAUUGAUUGACACGAUUGGGGUUAUUUGCUGUGUCUUGUCUAAUCUUUCAGAGUCUGUCGUCCCAUUGCAGUAAGGAGGGGGGGCAGAGGUGAAGAGAGGAGGCAGGGGGAUAGGGAUAAUCAGUCCAGUACCUGAGCCCUAAAACAUGUUGGUCUGGGGCACCUGCUUGGCUCACAGGAGGGGGGGGGGGGGAAGGGGAGGAGUAUACAGUAGUAGUAGUUUCAUCUGACACACAUCAGUCUGUAAACAUGUUAUUCUCUCAAUAUUUUUCUCCACUAGUCCAAUUGUACUGGCGAUAUGUAUUUUAUAUAAUGAAAUGGAUUCCAAUGUAUUAUUGCACAUAUUGUAUUUAUUAUAACAAUUGUUAAAACAUCUAAUCUUGUAGAUAAACCAUGUAUUAUUCUGUAUUCUCAA
Gadus morhua (Atlantic cod) is the source of this 1845-nucleotide long non-coding RNA. RefSeq lists it as uncharacterized. The transcript is spliced from 2 exons. The record is from RefSeq and is a predicted model, not a curated record. Lineage: Eukaryota; Metazoa; Chordata; Actinopteri; Gadiformes; Gadidae.